RNAcentral lists this transfer RNA (57 nucleotides) under Bos taurus (domestic cattle). It matches the Rfam family "tRNA", at positions 8 to 63 of the family's 71-position model. Rfam says of the family: Transfer RNA (tRNA) molecules are approximately 80 nucleotides in length. Their secondary structure includes four short double-helical elements and three loops (D, anti-codon, and T loops). RNAcentral also lists the same sequence under 5 other names. The record is from Rfam by way of RNAcentral. Lineage: Eukaryota; Metazoa; Chordata; Mammalia; Artiodactyla; Bovidae.
UAGCUCAGUCAGUAAAGAAUCUGUCUGGAAUGCAGGAGAUCCAGGUUCAAUUCCUGG